AGCUGUGAUGCCCCGGUCUCUCCAGGAGCUGGUCCCUCCAGUGGCAAGUCUAUUACAAGCACACUCAGCUGGAAAGUUUUAGUUGUACUCAGGGGUAAAGAAUUGCCCUUUAGCUCAAAACUUAAGUAUAAGUGGUGAAUUGGCACAGAGUAUCACUUGGUCCUAGGUGGUGGGCGUCAGAUGGAGCUGCUCUUUUAACAGUAGUUGGAAUUGUAUUCAUGUGAAAGAUCAUAUUUAAUCUGUUAUUAAUUAUUUAAUGAGGACUGAUGGAAUGAACAAAAAAGAUUGAGUGCCAUUAAGUACAGAACUUGGGAGAUUUCCCUGGCAAUGCUUUAAUAUUUGAUGCAGAGAUUGUUUUUACGUGCAAACAUAUGGUCACAGCAGGUAUUAACUAAAAUGGCCUGAGAAAGGAAUGCGAUUUCCCUUUCCUUCCCCCAUCUUCCAGCCCAGAUGUGCUGUUCACAGUGAGCAGCAAUGGGAAUCUGCAGCACAGCUCCUCUCCUCCUUUCACACGUGAGUUGUGCUUCUCUGUGAUUGCCACAGCAAUGGGUUUAGCCUCUGGGAGCAGUGCGUACCUUCACAAUUCAUUUCUCCGUUUCCAAUUUCACACUGCAGACUUCCCAAAUGGAGUUCCCAAAAGGGGUGGCUCGCCAUGAGUUUGCUGGUGAUGGACGCUUCAGGGCGGUCAGGAAGAAGGGGAGCGAAUGCACUGGAGAGCUUGUGCGUGAGGAAGCCCUGUCACCCGUUUGCCUCAGACAAGCCCCAGCACACAAAGCAGCUGUGGGGAGGUCACACAGGGGAGUGAGCCCAGAGCUGACCAGGGGGCCAUGGUGGCCCUGCGGCAGGGGAAAAGUGGCUGGCGUGGCCGGGAGCUCUCUACUCCAGCUGCUCCAGUGCAGGCCUCCAAGUCCUGCUUUGGGAGUGUGAAAGGAAAACUUCUGUUUUGGGCUGGCAGCUCAGUGACCCCUACAGUCCUACACAUUGCAGGGCACAUAGGCGAAGGUAGGAGUGCCCGCAGCUGCCGCUUGGCUGAGGCAGCCAUUUUGCGAUGGUGCGCCUCAUGUGGUGGCCAUUUGCCCGACACAGCCGUUUGCUUGCAGAGCCACGUCUGUGGUGGCCAUUGACCUGAGGCAGCUAUUUGCUGAGGCUCCCCACACGUGGCCACUUGCCCCAUGCAGCCGUUUGCCCAAGGCUCUUCAUGCAUGGUGGCCAUGAGCUGGCUGUUUGCCCAAGGCGUCUCAUGCAGUGGCCAUUUUCUGAGAACCCUGAUCAGGCAGUGUGGAAACCUUCUGAAUGCACAAGGAGGAAAGAAAUCACUGAGAGCAGUGAGAAUAAAGUAUGAGGCUUCAGUAAGUAAGUCAACAGAGAGAAGAGGAGGAAAGGCACAUGUCUGGAAGGCUGUUGGAAGUCUGCAAACUGAUGAUCAGGAAGAAGAUGGGAAUGAAUAAUAGCAUAAGAAGAGAGACAAUGACCAAAAAAGAAAUGAUGGAAUAAAAGGUUCAGGAUGCCUAGAGACAAAUGAUAUGGAAAAAGGCCUCCAUGACAGGUCCCUACUGGCACUGACUGUACAAGCAGGAGGACACCUAGGCAGAAGGUCCUGCUGGAUGGAACAUGUCUCAAGGGCAAUCCAAGGAAGGAGAACAUUUGAUAAGCACACGUAGCUCCGGGCAAAGCUGUGUGCAUUCCCACGGAGCUGUGAUGCCAGUGAGCUCUCUGCCAUGCCACACACUUUUUCCUUCUCCUUCGGGCUCUGAAUCAAAUCCUUUUGAAGUCUCUGCAGGAGCUCUCCCUGCAGACUUCAAAGGGCUGUGGAUCAAGCGCUGUAGAGGAAGUGCAGUUCAGGAAGUGCUGAUCUGAGCUUCACUUCCUUUUGCUUUCCUUUUCCCUUACUUCCCUUAAUUUCAGAAAGGAACAUACUAUAUUCCAUCUGUUCUCAAACGGUCCUGGGCUGUGAGCCACCAGAGCCUGGCACUGUGUCAGAGGGCUGUCAGAACAGGAAGGAGCACAGUUGUUCUGUUCUCCUGGCUCCUUUAGUGGCUGACUCCUUCCACCAGAGCUUCUUUUCCUUUCUCAUGAUGUGGUGCAGUGGAAGAAAGUAUCUGGCAUCCUAAUAAUAUUAGUUUUAUGGUAUUCUACUUUUCAGCUGUGAGAUGAACAUCAGAUGCUUACAUGAUCUUUCUACCCACACACAAUUUGUGUUCGCGUGUGCAUAUAAAUUUAUUCUAUACCAUUGCUGUUAUAAAUUUGUUCAGAACUUAAAAAUUCUGUGGGUGGGUAUCUACGUGAGAGAGACAGAAAGAGAUGAUCGUGCUACAGGGAUAACACUAUUGCUUAGCUCCUUUUGCAUCUAAUGGAAGUCCAAAAGACUACCUGGAAUCAAGUUGCUGAAAAUUGGAUCAAUUUUGGAGGCAAAAUAAUCCACUUAAAACUGUU
Molecule: long non-coding RNA, 2433 nt
Organism: Pipra filicauda (Wire-tailed manakin)
Lineage: Eukaryota; Metazoa; Chordata; Aves; Passeriformes; Pipridae
Exons: 4
Source: RefSeq, a predicted model, not a curated record